ACGGAGAGGGCAAGCGUUGUUCGGAUUUAUUGGGCGUAAAGCGCGCGUAGGUGGCAUGGUAAGUCGGAUGUUAAAGACCCACGGCUCACCCGGGGGAAUGCGUCUGAUACUGCCGUGCUAGAGUGCGGGAGAGGAAAGUGGAAUUCCUGGUGUAGCGGUGAAAUGCGUAGAUAUCAGGAGGAACACCGGUGGCGAAGGCGGCUUUCUGGUCCGAAACUGACGCUGAGUGUGCGAAAGCUAGGGGAGCAAACGG
This 253-nucleotide ribosomal RNA is filed under the name uncultured prokaryote. RNAcentral describes it as "partial 16S ribosomal RNA". It matches the Rfam family "Bacterial small subunit ribosomal RNA", at positions 525 to 775 of the family's 1533-position model. The record is from RNAcentral.